AGAAUAUCUCUACAUAAAACGUAAGGCUUUUGUUUUAAUCCUUAUUCGUGAGAUUGCCUUCUUAUGCGAUAGAUAUAUUAUUAAAACACUAUCAACUUCCAUUCUCUAUUUGAUUUCCUCACUUAAUAUACAUAUUUCGAUCAAAUUGGAAAGCUUGUGCUAUUGCAGUAGGGCGCGUAACAUUCUCGAAUCACAAGGUAGCUGAUUUUUCUUAAUUAUAUAUGUUUAUUCAAUCUUUCUACACAUAUAUUUACUCCACUCCAUUUUGUAGUGACUCCAAUUUAAUUAAUUUUUUCAGUACUAUUCAUUAGAGUGAUUGGGCAUAUUUGGAGCACAAAGUAGGUACUUCCAAUGCAUUUUUAUGCCUCUGGACAUUUAAUCACAAUUUUUUUCCUUCUCACCCAUAAUCAAUAAAUUUGCUCAAUAAAAAAAAAUUAAUAAUAAUAAUAAUAACAGUAAGUACAAAAAUCCAUAAAUCCAAACAUACAAUCUGAAUAUGAAUAAAAGGUAAAAAAUAACGGAAACAUGCAUAAUAACGGAUUGUGAAAUAUCAACUUAGCUCAUGUAAAUCUAUAAAUAAAAAAUUUCUAGUUUAAUUUUCUUUUAGUAUUAUUUUUAUAGAGUAUGAAGGUAAAAUUUGACUCUAUUUAGAAUAAUAACUUAUCUGUUUGAGCCCUAUUUUUUCAAAACUCAUUUUCAAC
RNAcentral lists this long non-coding RNA (701 nucleotides) under Olea europaea subsp. europaea. Lineage: Eukaryota; Viridiplantae; Streptophyta; Magnoliopsida; Lamiales; Oleaceae. The record is from RNAcentral.